RNAcentral lists this transfer RNA (73 nucleotides) under Planctomycetota bacterium. RNAcentral describes it as "tRNA-Thr". It matches the Rfam family "tRNA". Rfam says of the family: Transfer RNA (tRNA) molecules are approximately 80 nucleotides in length. Their secondary structure includes four short double-helical elements and three loops (D, anti-codon, and T loops). Lineage: Bacteria; Pseudomonadati; Planctomycetota. The record is from RNAcentral.
GUCGCGAUGGCUCAAUGGGUAGAGCAGCCGCCUCGUAAGCGGCAGGUUGUCGGUUCGACUCCGACUCGCGGCU